This 1222-nucleotide unclassified non-coding RNA is filed under the name Helicoverpa zea (corn earworm). RNAcentral describes it as "uncharacterized LOC124630206, transcript variant X1". Lineage: Eukaryota; Metazoa; Arthropoda; Insecta; Lepidoptera; Noctuidae. The record is from RNAcentral.
ACUGACACGACGGCGCGCGUGUGAACAGCUUGAAUGUCCGCCUGCCCGCGACGGGCUGCACGCCGCGCAGCCCGCCAGGCAGCCCGCCGGGUUGCGCGGCGCGCGUGUGAACGUAGCAUAAGAUUGGCCGAUUGCGAUAAAAACCAUAGAAAGAAGAAUAAUAACCAUAACCUCAAAGUCGAAGUUUUAGUUCAAAUGUCAUUUAGUUGUUCAAAUGUCAUUGUCAUUUACUUUGUUUGGAUUACACACAUCAUGCCGAAAAUCCCGAAUCUCCGUGCAUUUGGUAAACAUUGUCACAAUUGUGGAAAGUGGAUGGAGCGAAGGGCUCUUCGUAAAGAUGGUGUGUAGUAUUUUAGUAGUGACAUGCAAUUUUUGUAAUGGCAAAAUAUUUGCAAGAGAUGGCAAACAAAAGCAAAUGUGCAGUCGAUGUGUGGAAUGCGACAACAUUAUACUCGGUCGAUAACGAAGAGUUGAAUGUUAGAACUUAUAAAAAUAUUAUUUACAACUCAUUUCGAGAAGCUGCUCAAGCAAGAGGGCUCCUUUUUGACGAUCAAGAAUGGGAAAGAUGUUUGAAUGAAGCAAUUGAUUUUAAACUUCCUCGGCAAUUAUUUCGAGUUCGAAGAUUCGAUGAUGUAAAAAUUCAAAUUAUCAAUACCACUGAACAAGGCUUGAAAGGUGAUAAAUAUUUAUCGAAAAAUGUUAUAUAUAGAGAAAUUUUGUGAUAAUCAACCUCUGAUGUAUAAUAGAGAAUAUUUUUUUAUAAGUACCUUUGCCAAAUUCUCGGAUAAGUACUCAUUGUAAAAUUACAAUUUACAUACUUCCUAAUAUUAUUCUUGAUUUAGCCAAUUUGGAUAAAGAACCACAAUUUCAUAUUUUAUUUUUAAAAUUAGUAAGUACUUAUCUACCUGUCAAAGUAAAGAAAAAGACUGAGUGCUUAAAACAAAGAGGUUUACACAGAGUAAACCUUAAAAAUUAUAUGUUUUGUUAAUUUGUGUUAGUUUAUUUUGAAUGUUAAUUUGAAAUAAAAAUAAUUUGUGUAAAAACUUUUGCAGUUUUUAUUUAUUAUAUUUAUUAAACAUAACGAACGAAGCUAUACGAAUCUAUGCCUUGAUUAUUCCUUUAAUAUUCCUUGAGACCCGAUGACUACAGAAAUUUCUACCUACAUUUUGCAACUAGACGUGUAUUAUGAGUCAAAUUUCACCCGAGCGAAGCCGGGUUUUCC